ACUGUGGGGGCGAGCAGGGUCUCUGGAGUCCGACACCUGACACUGCCCCCCCGGGCCUUAGCCAUUUGCAACAGAGAGGGUCCCGGCGCCCUGGACCCCAGUCUUGGGGCCAGGGUGACUCACAGCGGUGUCCCCUCCCCCUCGCCACACAGACGUCUCCGCCUACCCCCAACAAUCUCAGCGACGCCGUGGGCUCUGCGACUCCGCCGUCUGCUGGGGGAUGCUGGGGCCCAUGCCCUUCUCCCGCCCCAGCGGGCCAGGCCGCCCCCUGCCCAGUCUUCAGGCUUGCCUUGCUGCACCGGGUCGCCUCGUGAGGUGAGGAAGGAUGCAACCUCGGAACGUGGAGCCGGAGACCCAGGACAGCCGAGGGACCGGCCGAGGGUCCGGGGUGAGAGAGGGUCCGAGGAGUCGGGGUCCUGCCCUGCCCUGGCGUGCUGCAUUGUAGAAGGAGAGAGCACACUCAGAAACAGCACAAGCACUUGUUUGAACUCAAGGCUGACCCAUUUAUUUAAUGCUCCUUCAAAGGCCAACUAGAAGGCAUCAUUUCUCAGGCAAGAGAAGGUGCUUAACUAUGGCUUAGAGAAAUUGAAAGAGCCAGCGCCUUCUGAUUUGAAGCUGAGGCAGCAGGGCAUCAAGGAGGGUGUGACUCGUCCAAAGGUACGGCUCACUGUGGUGAAGCUGGAACUGGACAUAGCCCCACCACAGCCUCGUGUGUCAUGGGUCACAAGGAAGUCAGCAUAUAUUUUGUUACUGGAAAGAAAACUCACAAGUAAUUGAUGUUUUGGAAUUGGACGUCUUAUUGGUUGGUAACUGAGUUUAUGAUCACAGUAGGACUGUCUGAGAAAACAGGUAGUUUAUUAGGGAUUCUUACUGUGACAGAUAAUAAGAUGGGUGAAAAGGUUUUCUGAGAACAGUCAGUGUCUCUUAUCUGAGAUACAGAAUACUUCCCCCUGGAAUAUGAUUAUUGAAAGCAUGCAAACUAGAUCUGGAGGAAUUUUCCAAAAAGCAUACUGGACUUGGAAUCAAAGAAGACAAAUUUUUAAUAAAUUAAUCUAAGAUUUCUCAAAAACUUGGAACUCCUGAUGUUUUAGGCAGAACAGUUCCUUGUUAUGCGGGGGCUUUCCUAUGGGUUGGAAGGCUAACACCAACUUCCGGCCCCUCCUUACCAGAGACUACCAAAAGUGCACCUGGAUGUUGCCGAGUCAUCUGUAGGAUGAGAGAGCUCAGUGGAGAACCAGUCACGCAGAUAAAUCUGGGGCUUAAGGCUUCAGGGAGAGGUACAUAUUAUUGUUUCCUAUUAUAAACACAAUAAAUAUUAAUAUUUAUAAAAUAUGGAAACAUAUGUUACUCAAAUAAUACCAAAUUA
This 1366-nucleotide long non-coding RNA is filed under the name Chinchilla lanigera (long-tailed chinchilla). RNAcentral describes it as "lncRNA (ENSCLAG00000022804.1)". The record is from RNAcentral. Lineage: Eukaryota; Metazoa; Chordata; Mammalia; Rodentia; Chinchillidae.